Uranotaenia lowii is the source of this 383-nucleotide long non-coding RNA. RefSeq lists it as uncharacterized. The record is from RefSeq and is a predicted model, not a curated record. Lineage: Eukaryota; Metazoa; Arthropoda; Insecta; Diptera; Culicidae. The transcript is spliced from 2 exons.
UGUAGACUGUGUAAAUUGUAGACGAUCAAUUGAAAAUAUUUUCAAUUUUAAAGUGUGUUUCGCUCAAUCGUUGAACAAAAUGAUUUCGAAAUUUGUGUUGCUUACUUUGGCAAUUGCCUUGUUGCUGUGCUGCUGUUAUGUUCAAGCGCAACAAUCAGAUUACUCAACUUUCGAUUACAACACGCACGGACGUAGGUCAGUAGAUCCCGAGUCUGGCGCUGUAGAUUGCGUUUCUGGGGAAGUGUGCGAUCCGAUUGAUUGAAUGGAUUGAAGUGCGUUUAUUGAGAAGUUGCGAUAAAGCACUUUCAAAUAGUGAAAUUGAUGAUAAAUCUCCUAAAAAUAUCUAAGAAAUAAAUUAAAUCCACGAUUUUCAAAAAAUUAAA